ACAUCCUCUUGAUAUAAUUCUGUCCCGGAGUGGAGUUGAGGAGGCUAUAAAAUGUGUGGGAAAACCUCAGAAAUCUUUAGCUGCAUUCUUUUACUGCACUGACAGUGCACGUAUUAUGAUAGUUGAAUGUAGGGUGCUCUCCUAAUAACAGGAUAUGCCGUCUCGAGCUUCCCAGACUUAGCGUGCUGCUGCUGGACCUUAGAGAAUUUAGUUAAAUAAAAAGUGUCCCCGCCUAUUCCUGUUUCUGCCCUGUCAAUGAAAUUUUAGUCUUUAUAACCUUUCCAAGUAGGCUGGAGUUUAACAUCCCAACAGUUCAGGAGACUGAUUUUCUCCAUUGUAAAUUCUGUGGAAGUUCUGGAGAAUAAUUUCAUCACUACCACCCAGCAGUAUGCAAUCUAGAAAUUUCAGCUUUCCCUAUACUUAAAAGAGAUGUGUGUGCAACAUUUUUCUCCGUCCUCUUAGCCCCCCACUUCCUGUUCCCCUCACCCUGAGUGAUAUUACAGCUCCUAAUUAGAACUCUCUUCUAAGAAAAACUGCAAGACAUCAAGCCACUAAGCCUGUUUACAUUUGCUAAUGGGUAUGCAUGUCUUUUUAUAUUAAUAUUUUUCCUAAGUAUUUUCAGAUUGUUGCUUUCAGAUUUAUUGCUUCCUCCUUAAAAUAUAGCUGCCCUGAAAGCAGCUGUAUUUUAUCUAUUUUUUGUAUUUCCCCACAGAUCUGAAUAAUCCAGGGCUUUUCUCACAGAUGACACUCAGUGUGGACUAAUUGAUAAUGUAUAAUUUUAUAGCAGCUAUUUUCUGAGUUUUAAAAAACUGUUAUUUUAUUUCUGUUAGUCUUUCAGACACUGGAAAACAUUUCUAUUUUAUUGGCAUUUUUCUUUUCAAUAAAGCAUUGGUUUUUUAAAAUCAUUUAUUUUUAUUAAACUGCUAAACAUACUAUGUUAGGUUCCGUACAUGAUUAAACCAAAACAUAAAGGUCUUGCCAAUCUAAUGUAUUUACAUGCUUAUUUUCUUUGAUUAGAUUAUAAGCUUUCUGAGGUCAGAGACAUUAAAUCUUGACAAUUCUAUUUUUUCCUGUUAUAAACAGCAAGUAAAUCACCUUGCAUGUAUAGUACUUUAGUAAUGAUUUUAUAUUAUCUUAUUGCAGCGGUGUCUACUGUUUCCUCUUAUCUUUUAUCCAGAUGAGCAAAUGACAGUUUUGGUCAUAAUGUAGUUACCCCAGAUGUAUUUGUGCUACAGCUUUUAUUUUUUAAAUGCUCUUUUGUUAGAGUAGUAGUUUAUAAGACUUAUUUGGGGAUGGGGGUCAGUUGCUUCAGACUCAGGUGGCUUUCCAACUUGUAAAUACAAUUUUCAGGCUGGAUGAUUAGCAUGCAUCAAGCAUCCCUUCCUAUGAACUCUAAAUAAAGCAGAUUUAUUGCAUAUUCUGUGGCCCUCUGUUUUAGCACAUUGGAAGCCUUAGACUCAAAUAGCAGUGAAAGGAUAGUUAUUACUGAGCUCAGAAGUCUUCCCUGCCAAAGGUAGAAUGUAAUGUGUUCUCUGGUAAUAGGAUUAUUUUGUUUGACCAGGUGACACUGUUUAUUUCUUAUGAAAAAUUUUGAUAUACAGCUUUAAAAUUUAGUAAGAUGGAUGCAUAAUUUAUACAGUGAAAUUUGAAAGGUUUUUCAAAAUGAUAAGGCCAAACCUAAGCUAAACGAGGGGGUAGGCAUUCUUUAUAAUAAAGCUGUUAUACUCUGCCCAGCUAGGCCAGUUAUCCCUAGAUGCUACAGAUUAAUGGGGCAAUCUGUGUUAUGUAACAUUUGUUCUAUAUUAUUCUGCCUCUAAUGAGGUGAAUCAAAGACGAUGUCAGUUUUAAUUCUGGAUGCCCUUGCUUCAGUGUAGUAUAAUACAUAGGUACAGCCUUUUUUAGUAGUUUUCAGAUGGCUUCUUUAUGUUUUUAUAUUGAAGAACCAGUAACUUCCCAUUGGCCUAUAAGGUUAGCAAUUGAUUAUUUAUAGCAAAUGGCUUGAAAUGUUAGAUCAUCAGUAUUUGUCAGUAAACCUGUAAUAACUUGUUUCCCUAGCCCUUAACUUAGUGUUGAAGAAAAAAAUUGUGGUAUUCAUUGAUAGGACUUAGAAAGCACAGAAAUUAUUUAUUAUUUAAGAUUUGUUCUACAAAUUGAUAUUUAAAGUAAAACAUUUUUAGUUACUGAACACCAUUCUGUAAAUGACAGUAUUUUAUCCUGAGUAUAUGGUCUGAAAUGACUUAAGGACAACUUUUUAAAGCAAAUAACUAAUUACAAAAUUGGGUCUUCCAAUUUAUUUCAAAUUAGAUGCUUUUGUACAAAUAUUCUUGGUUAGAAAUAGUCAUAUAAAUACACUGUUGGACAUGUUCUCAUUGAUCUCCACGCCUCAGUUCCUUCUACAUGAGUCAUGGGCUUGAGGUUACCCAGAAAUGGACUGUGAACCUAUAAACCCCAGCAUGCAUGUGGUAUUGCAUUGAGCAUGUUCUGUGAUUCCCUUCUACUCUUGUUACAGCUUUAUUCAUUGAAUCAAUGUGCAUUAUUUGCUGUGUGUGCUCAGGUAAUAUUUUUCUUUUUUUUUUGUUUGAAUAUCAGUUUGGGCUUAGUUACUUUUUAAAAUAAGGAUGUUUCAGAUAGUCUCUGCCACACUUUGCCUAGCCUGGUUAAUUGUGGGUGGACCCAUGCUACAUGUUUUGGCAUUGCCUUUUUCUUAUCUGUACCAUAUUACAAACUUCCUAGUAAUUUGACAUUCACUGCUGUCUUUGCUUUAGCUUUCCGACAGGUUUGGUGAAACAGUCCAUUGCUGUUCAAUAUCAGCUUGCAUCAGAAUUACUUGGAGGGCUUAUUGAUUAAAACACAGAUUACUGGGCCCUGCAAAAAAAGUUUCUGAUUCAGUAGGUCUGGGGUGGAACAUGAGAAUGUGCUUUUUCCCCCACAGUUCCCAAGUACUGCUGAUGCUGCUCCUCUAGGCCCAUGCUUUCAGAAUCACAGAGCUCAUCUUACAUUCUUUUCCUGCUAGAUAUUAUGCCCAUUUAAUACAUGAAGUAAAACAGAAAAAUCCUUAACUUAAAAACAUGUAUUAAUCCAGAAGUUUGAUUAUAAAAAGGUUUGUUGAAAAUGUGAGACCAUUUUUUCUCCCAGAGAAAAAGUAUAUUAAUUGUCUAGCUGGGAGGGGCAUAUUUGAAUGUGUUUUCAGAGAAAAGCAGAAGAAAAAAAUACGGUUGUAAUAGAAGUAGUUAAAACAGAAAAGCAGUAUGGUUGUAGAGUGGGGUGGUGGGGAGGUAUAUGUGUAUUUAAUCUUGAGAACCAAUGCUUUUGGAAAACAGCCCAAAGGGACAAGAGACUAGGUAGAGACUGGGGAGGUUCCUGAAAGUCCUGGGUUACCUAUGAAAUGCCAAAGAUUUUUAAAGUUUGCUGGCAGUGGUUAUUAUAUGUAGUUUUACUUCCAAAUUUGAAGAUUUCCUCUUCUUUGAUUCAAGUGUGUUGGUAGGACCACUGGUAAUAGUUAGUAGAGAUAUUUGUGGGAAUAUAUUUUUAAUCAGAAAGAAUGCAAAAAGAGGGGGAGACAUUUCUUUGAGACACCUUAAUGACACUGGGAACAGUAGAAGGUGGAAAGAGAUCAGAGUGUGGGAAAGAUGUGCCUGAGAUGAAAUUAUCUGAAUUCUGAAUGUGGGGGAGAAGAUGAGGAGAGGGUUGAGGGGGAGGAGAGAUGACUAAGCUCCUCACAGUGUUUCAUUAACUGUCUUUUACCUAAAGGAGGAAUCUUCUUAAUGAAGAUUGGUUGAUGCAUCAUUACUGGUCAUCAAGUAAGUUCUUAUAAAUGCAAGUUUGAUUGUUUUGAAGGGAAGGAUAUAGGAAGGCUGGAUAAUCAGCUACAUUUAGAUAUGGAACGCUACAGGAUGUCUGCAUUUAUUGUUGUAAAUUCGUCUGGUGAAAAACGUUAUCACUUCUUUGUGACUAGCCUGGGCAAUAUAGUGAGACCUUGUCUCUAAAAAAAAUUUUUUUAAUAAGAAAAAUUAGCCAGGCAUAGUAGUGUGCCUGUAGUGCCCCCCACCACCCUGGACACGCCCCCACUUCCAAAGAAACAAACACCCAACUCACUUCUGCCUUUUCCUUGGAUUCUACACUUUCUCUCAGGAUAUCUUUCUGAUUGAGUCUUGCCUCAUUUAUGUGAAUGCUGUGUCUGUUCUUUUUUUCAACAGAGUCUUACGUAAAGAACCGUACAAACUUAGUAAAGAGUUUAAGUCCUGCUUUAAACCAAGUUCCAGUUCAUGUAAACAUCCUACACUCAGCUGUAAUACAUGGAUUGGCUGGGAGGUGGAUGUUUACUUCAGCUGACUUGGAAUAUCAACCAAUUAACAUUGAUAAAAGAUUUGGCAAGAAUAGUAUACAGAGGCUUGAAUUUUUAAUGUAAUUAAUGUAAUUAAAGGUUUGUUGGAAAUGUGAGACCAUUUUGUUCUCCCAGAGAAAAAGUGUGUUAAUUGUCUAGCUGGCAGGGAUCUACUUGAAUAUGUUUGCAGAGAAAAGCAGAAGAAAGCAUGGUUGCAGUAGGAGUAGUUAAAACAGAAAAACAGUAUGCUUAUAGAGGAAAAAUUACCCUAAAUUUAUUAAAAAUUUAUUAAAAUUCCUUUCAAUUUGUUACUCAAUUUAAAUUUUUAUUGUAUCUUUUCAAUUUUGCUAUAGCACUAACAUGACAUAAGGCUCUGGGUAUUGGGACAAAAGAAUGCCCUUGUUUGGUAGUUGGGGUCGGGUUUGUAGUAUUGCAGUGUGCUUUAACAAGCAUGGGCUUUGACAUCAGACAUUUGUUGCCAUCUGGACUCCACAAGUGAAUUUGCUAAGGGAUUUGGAGGAGGGAAAGGCACUGUUUCCAUACCUCAGUGGUUUUCUCAUCUGCAAAAUAGGUAUGUGAUUGCAUGGAUUGACUUAUAUGAUGAAUAUAAAGUUGUUCAUUAGUACAGUACCUGUCAUAUUAAGUACUCAAUAAAUGCUAGUUAUUAAUGCUGUGUUUUAGGUUUUCAGUAAAUAGUUGCCAUAAUGCUUAAAGCAGACAUAAGUUGUUUUUAUUUUAGCAAUAAAGAUGAUGCCAACUUUUUGGUUUAAUGGAAAUGCUUUGAAUCUUUGAUAUUGUUGUAAUAUAGUGGCAUAGAAUUUUGAAUCCCAGCUUCUGGAGCUCAUAUCUUGAUUCUGCGAGUUACUUCGCUAUGUUACUUUGAGGGAAGUUAUUAAUCUCUCUGUGCCUUAGUUUCCUCAGUCAACUAAAUUGAAAUUAUAAUAGCACCUACCUGAUAGGAUUGUUGAGACUAAAUGAGGUAACAAUUUAAAAAUAAGCUAAUACCUGAUAAUUAGUUCUAUAUAUGUAUUGAUUGGUCUAAACGUUAUUUCCAUUUUCAUGUCUUUACUUAAAAUACUGAAAAUUAAUUUUUUAUAGCUUUGUUUUUCAAUUCCAUGAAAUCAGCCUGCCUUUUCUUUUUUUGGUGAUGCAUCCACAUUCUGUAUAGGUAAAAAGCAAAACAAACAAGUAUAAAACGAAAAUUAUGUAAGAAGUACACACAUCCUAGCAGCUUGGCAAGUGUCUGUAUGCUCUUGCCUGUGCCUAAAUCCAGAAUUAGAAUUCAUGUUUGGUGCUCCUGUGGAAGAUGUCUAAAUGUUAUGAGAAAUACAUGAUUAAAUAAAAAUGUGAAAUGAAAGCAUGGAGACUUGUUGAAGGUUGUAAGUGAAGAUACAGAUGGCAAGAGACACAAAGACCAAAUCCCAAAGCACUUCAACAUUUAGAAGUCAGAAAAAGAAAGAAAAACUAGCAAACAAUACUGAGAAGAGGCCAAUGAAAUCAGGAAAAUCAGGAGAUGAUGGUGUCUGAAAGCCAAACAAGGAAAGGCUACCAAAAGGGAUGAAGAGAUCAACAGUGUCAAAUUCUCCUGAAAGGACUGCCCUUAUUGGACCACAGAGAGAAAGAUGAUCUCCUUCCCAGGUGCACUGAGUGGCAGCCUUGGGCCUGGACUGGUGGGUUCUUGGUGGCAGCGGGCAUUUGCUGGUGGGGGAUCCCUCAGACCAUUUUCAACUAUUAUGUCAACAGGACUUACAGCAAGUUCUUGCAAUCUUCACUCCCACGUGCAUGAAGUCUUGGGUCCAUGAUGUUCUGCCACAAUUUACAAUGACCUUCAUUAUGCAUCAUUAGCAUUUCAUUAACAUUAGCAGGGCCAUAUAGCAGUUUAAUCUAUCAGCUACUCCCUUAGGACAUCUGGCUAAUCCAUUAACUUGCAACAUAAAUUAUUGAACCCCCCUUUUAGCUGGUUAUUUAUGAGACCACUGGUCCUGACCUGCCCUUCCUGGUUUUGGCAUGGUUCCUAGUCUUCUGGAAGUCUUUGACUUACUCUUAGUAAACUUAUCUGCCCCUCGAAACUUACACAAAUAUACCAUUUCAUAAACAGACAUACAGAACUUCAAGUAAGAAAUAGGACCCCAUAUCUACCAAACCUGUCUCUUUACUAAAAUAUCCUAUU
This is a long non-coding RNA of Gorilla gorilla gorilla (western lowland gorilla), 6494 nucleotides long. RefSeq lists it as uncharacterized. The transcript has 3 exons. Lineage: Eukaryota; Metazoa; Chordata; Mammalia; Primates; Hominidae. The record is from RefSeq and is a predicted model, not a curated record.